UACGAGAGGCCCAAACGUUAUUCGGAAUUACUGGGCUUAAAGAGUUCGUAGGCGGCGCGGAAAGUGGGGUGUGAAAGCCCUCGGCUUAACCGAGGAAUUGCGCUCCAAACUACCGUGCUUGAGGAAGCUAGAGGUGAGCAGAACUGAUGGUGGAGCGGUGAAAUGCGUUGAUAUCAUCAGGAAUACCGGAGGCGAAGGCGGCUCACUGGGGCUUUUCUGACGCUGAGGAACGAAAGCCAGGGUAGCGAACGGG
RNAcentral lists this ribosomal RNA (253 nucleotides) under uncultured bacterium. Its description in RNAcentral is "partial 16S ribosomal RNA". It matches the Rfam family "Bacterial small subunit ribosomal RNA", at positions 524 to 776 of the family's 1533-position model. The record is from RNAcentral.